CACCUGCAUUGCCAGAAUCAUGUAAGACUCUUCGCUAUCAAGGAGGUGUCUUGCCAGGAGUGAGAGAAGAGCAGAAGAAAGACAAAGACUGCUCCUGGGAUUCUGAGACUGAUUCCAAAGGUCAAGGGAAAGUGUUGGCCGCCUUGA
This is a long non-coding RNA of Pseudopipra pipra, 147 nucleotides long. RefSeq lists it as uncharacterized. The record is from RefSeq and is a predicted model, not a curated record. Lineage: Eukaryota; Metazoa; Chordata; Aves; Passeriformes; Pipridae. The transcript has 3 exons.